AUGGAGGUUGUCGAGAGUGUGGGAGCUAGUGGAGGCCUGAUCCUCUACUGGCGGAACCCGGUGGAAAUACAAGUGAAGGACAAAUCAAAGAAUUUCAUUGAUGUGGUUGUGGGAGGUUCAGCGGUUGAAUCUUGGAGGUUUACAGGUUUCUACGGAGAACCUAAGUGGGAGGAUAAGCACCUUUCAUGGGGGUACAUCCGCAGCCUGUAUCAGCAAGUGCGUGCACCAUGGGUAGUGGCAGGCGAUUUUAACGAGAUUCUGUAUUCUCAUGAGAAGGAAGGUGGAGCGCCGCGACCAACAAAUAUGAUGCAGAGAUUCAGGGACGCCUUGGUUGACAGUGAACUUGAGGAUAUGGGCUUCACCGGCGACCAAUUCACUUGGCGGCGAUGAAGAAUACGGGAGAGGCUGGAUAGAGCUGUAUGCAAUGGACAGUUCCUAGGUCUCUUCCCUAAUGCAAAGAUCACCAACACAGGGCAUACUAAAUCAGAUCAUAGACCGGUCCUUUUGGACACAGAUGGUGACUUGGCGAGCGAUCAUUUCAGAGCAAAACUCAAGCAGUUUGAAGCGAGAUGGUUGAAGGAGGAUGAUGUGGAGCAGCUUGUAUCUGAUGCAUGGAACAGAACUAAUCCACAUGCAACAUUGGCAGAACGUACUGCUGCGGUACAUGCAGAGAUGCACGUAUGGGAUAGGGAAAUCUUGAAGGCGCCCCAUAGACGCCUGAAAGAGCUUAAGGAGGAGUUGGAAAGCUUGCGGUCGGGCCCUCUCACUGACGAGUCGGCGGAUCGGCAACGUGCUUGCUGA
Molecule: ribosomal RNA, 801 nt
Filed under: Triticum aestivum (bread wheat)
Lineage: Eukaryota; Viridiplantae; Streptophyta; Magnoliopsida; Poales; Poaceae
Description: partial small subunit ribosomal RNA
Source: RNAcentral